GUCAUGGUUUCAGCAUAAAAGGUGAGUGUUACAAAAGAGAGAAAACAGAUAAGAGGAAUGCAACAUUUACAUAUCGGUAGGCUUGAACAAUAUUGUGUGGCAUACAUGUGGGGUUUACUAGCCAUCGGCCAUGAGCUUAGGGAAUUUUAUUUUGGGUAGUGGGAGUCGGUGUUGCCGUUAAGCCUAGGGGGUCUAGAGGUCUGGCCAUAUAGCUGGUGCGGCUGGCAUUGCUAGGGGCUGUUAGGCUGAUGUCUAACUGGUUUAACAAGUUGAUAUGGUUCCGUUGUCGUGCUAGGGAGCCAUAUCUGGUGGUGAGCUGCAUGCUCCCUCUAUAAAAGUGUACCCCUUUACCACGGGGGGAGGGGGCAGGUGAAUUUGUGAGUAGACACAGUGGGUAAAAUAAAGAAGAGUCCCGGUUACUGAUAAUGGUAUGUCCGUGGAGCCUUGGGGCUAUGAAGAGUUAUGCAUUAGGCUUUCACCCUUUUGUCCAGUUCACCGACAAACCAGCCCAGUGGAG
Pelobates cultripes (western spadefoot toad) is the source of this 517-nucleotide non-coding RNA. NCBI's taxonomy places the organism in Eukaryota, Metazoa, Chordata, Amphibia, Anura, Pelobatidae. The record is from the annotation of a GenBank genome assembly.